AUGACUGAAAGUCAACUAUAUUGGACAAAAAGUCAACUAUGGUCAACAUACAGUCAAACAUCAAGAUUUUUGGUCAAAAUCAACAUUUUGAAGUCAAAUUCAUCAUUUGAUCAAGGGUUUAUCAUGAUUCAUCAAGGAAAAUGCUCAAAUUAUCAAAAGUCAAAAGUUACAAAAUUAGGAUUUUCUUAA
This is a non-coding RNA of Vicia faba (fava bean), 189 nucleotides long. NCBI's taxonomy places the organism in Eukaryota, Viridiplantae, Streptophyta, Magnoliopsida, Fabales, Fabaceae. The record is from the annotation of a GenBank genome assembly.